This is a non-coding RNA of Acanthosepion pharaonis, 108 nucleotides long. The record is from the annotation of a GenBank genome assembly. NCBI's taxonomy places the organism in Eukaryota, Metazoa, Mollusca, Cephalopoda, Sepiida, Sepiidae.
AUCACGCCGAAACACUAGUUCUCAUUUGAUCACUGAAGUUAAGCAGUGUCGAUCCCGGUCAGUACUUAGAUGGGAGGGGAUCACCACCUUGGGAACACUGGAUGCUGU